ACUUGGAUAGUUUAAUUAAAACGCUGAUUUGUGGGACCAGUGAUGUAUUUUGUACUUCAGGUU
This 63-nucleotide transfer RNA is filed under the name Incisitermes schwarzi. RNAcentral describes it as "tRNA-His". The record is from RNAcentral. Lineage: Eukaryota; Metazoa; Arthropoda; Insecta; Blattodea; Kalotermitidae.